RNAcentral lists this ribosomal RNA (502 nucleotides) under uncultured bacterium. RNAcentral's name for it is "partial 16S ribosomal RNA". It matches the Rfam family "Bacterial small subunit ribosomal RNA", at positions 28 to 507 of the family's 1533-position model. The record is from RNAcentral.
GACGAACGCUGGCGGCGUGCCUAAUACAUGCAAGUCGAACGAACCGCGACUAGGUGCUUGCACUUGGUCAAGGUGAGUGGCGAACGGGUGAGUAACACGUGGGUAACCUACCUCAUAGUGGGGGAUAACAGUCGGAAACGACUGCUAAUACCGCAUAGGACAUAGGAUCACAUGAUCCAGUGAGGAAAGGUGGCGCAAGCUAUCGCUAAGAGAUGGACCCGCGGUGCAUUAGCUAGUUGGUAGGGUAAGGGCCUACCAAGGCGAUGAUGCAUAGCCGACCUGAGAGGGUGAUCGGCCACAUUGGGACUGAGACACGGCCCAAACUCCUACGGGAGGCAGCAGUAGGGAAUCUUCCGCAAUGGACGCAAGUCUGACGGAGCAACGCCGCGUGAGUGAAGAAGGUCUUCGGAUCGUAAAGCUCUGUUGUUAGAGAAGAACAGCGCAUAGAGUAACUGUUAUGCGUGUGACGGUAUCUAACCAGAAAGCCACGGCUAACUACGUG